GUUUACAGACUGUUAACAAGUUGUGAUUCACAAUUAAUCCCGUAAUGAGUGUAGAUGGUGCUGUAUCGGUUUACUAUUAGUUCCCUGCAACAUUUCCUCAGAGAUGCUUAAUGCAUUUCUUAUGCGAUUUGCCCGAAAUAUUUCACAUAUGUAGUUAUUUGUUGUGACUUCCAAUAUCUAUGGAAGGUAUGGUAUGGUAACGCGAAAUAGCAUUAUAAAACCGACCGUUAGAGCAUAUGGCUACGUUAAAUUCCUUUGCAAACGUAAACAGUUUUAUUAAUCAAAAGAAUUAGAAUCAGGUAGCGAACCCCAUGGCAGCCGGUUGUAUGCACCGGAUUGACCCGAUGGAAUUCUUCAUCGGCAAGGGCUGCCGCCUCAGUGUACGUGUUCGUCUUUUUCGUCAUUGGAUUGGCACAGAGUAAUUAAGAAAUUGUUCUGGUCUGUGGAGGGAUUUAAAAGAACCCCUGACCUUGGUUCUGUUCGGUUUGCCAGAACCGCCUCCACCAUCGGUCGGUGUCGGUGAGGUGUAACCGGUGCAUGGAGUGGUUACAUUUCCGAUCUUGCUCUGGCCUUACACCACUACGGGAAUAUAGUCACACGAAUAUGUUGCAAGGUACUGUGCGGACAUACACAACAGUGGGUCACAAGCGUCGCCGUCGUUGUCGGACUAUGUAACCCCCGACCACUCCCGUGCGGGAAUAUACGCAACAGCAGCAUCCCAGCUCCAAUAUUGCCAGACCAGUUGCCGGGAAGUGUAUCUUUUGAAUUGAAUUGCAAUGGUAUGAGAGGCAAGAUCGACGAGAUAGUGGAUUUUGUGAGUCGGAAGAACAUAUUGGUUGCAGCGAUCCAGGAUACAAAGCUGACCAACACCUGCAGUUUGCACAGUUGUCAAGGAUACAAUGUGCUACGCUUAAGGAAUGGAGGUGAUAAGUUGGUCUCCGUAAUACACUAUUCCGUGCAAUAAAGACCCAUCUCGCCUGCGCCUGGCGCUAAUGACCCCAACAUGGAGUGCAUGGGGAUAGCAUUUAGGUCUGGUACUGCCGUGAUAGAGUUAUAAUACUACGUGUACAUACCGCAGGUUGGUCUUUGUGACCCAUUAAUGGCCAAGCUUAUAAGCCCACAUUAGUUGGCUACUCUCUGGCCAUAAUCGUCUGGUUCCAGGAGACUUUAUUGCGUAUCAAGUUUCAUGGCAUUCUACCCUAGGUAACGGGCAGCGGGGCAAAGCAGAUUGAAGGCUCCACGUAUUGCACGGUGAAUGAGGAUGCCCCCAAUAGGAUUACGAGAAGAUGUAGCAGUUCGCCACACAUAACCAUUGCAUCCCCUGAUCUGAAUAAGCCGUCAUUUGUUUGGGAUCAGACAUCGACCGUCCACCCGACUUCACAACCUCUUAGCGCCCGUUGUUUAUCAAUCAAAAGAUGGCCGUAUCGGCUUCAAAGAGUACACCAAUCGCCGCUUCAUUCAACUGACAGCUCCUCCAAUGUUCUAGUUGCCGAGAGGAAAUUCCGAGACAUCAGUAACGCAGCAGCCGCUAGCUUUAAACCAGCCGCUCGAAUACACCAAGUUCAGUCCAAUUACCCAGCGCAGACAGUAGUACUUGCAGACAAGCGUGAUGGGAUUCUUUGCACGGACACCACUAACCCCAGAAUCUGCAAAUUAUAAUAAAAGGGUAUUCAACGAGCAUAAGCGGGAUUUGUGGCUGUAACACUCAGAGCAAUGUAACUUAGGUUCGAGUCACACUCGAACCCCGUUAGACGGGACGACAGGACCUCAGUCCCUUUUGGCGACUUAACCGCGACUGAUCCGUAGGAUAUGCCAGGUUGUUCAACCGUCAAUUUAUUGUGCAUCCCGAGAGUGACAGGGCUAGGAGGAGAGCCAUUCGUCGAAUCCGUGGUCUCCGGAUUAUUUUUAUUUUUUAUUUAUUUGUUUUUAUUUUGUACGACAAAACCAAAGUCAUAUAAAGGUUAGCACCUGUAUUGUACUAUAAAUUCAAUUUCAUAUCCGUAAUUGUAUAUAAUGAAUAAAAUGUGUGACUAACAUACAAUACAAA
Long non-coding RNA from Stomoxys calcitrans (stable fly), 2047 nucleotides. RefSeq lists it as uncharacterized. The transcript has 2 exons. The record is from RefSeq and is a predicted model, not a curated record. Lineage: Eukaryota; Metazoa; Arthropoda; Insecta; Diptera; Muscidae.